Molecule: long non-coding RNA, 483 nt
Filed under: Monodelphis domestica (gray short-tailed opossum)
Lineage: Eukaryota; Metazoa; Chordata; Mammalia; Didelphimorphia; Didelphidae
Description: lncRNA (ENSMODG00000039222.1)
Source: RNAcentral
AUGAAUCACUGGAAGGCUUCCCAUGGUUGUGUCUUCACAGUGUCUGACACAUUGUUGGGGCUUCAUAACUACCAGUUGAUGAUGAUAAUAAGGACAAAUUUAUGCAGCACCUACUAUGGGCAAGACACUGUUUCAGGUGACCUAAGUGUGUUGCCUCAUCCCACCAUAGGAGGUAGGAGUUCCCACGAGGAAUGAAAAGAAAAUAACAGAUAGGAGCCACACAGAAUGAGGAGGCAUGAGGAAACUCCCAUGAGAAAUGAAGAGGAGAUAACAGAGGAGAGUCACACAGGAUGAGGAGGAUUGUAACCUGUACCUUUGAACAAAGUAAUCAUGCUGAGAAGGUCACAGAUCCAUUGAGGUAUUAAUCUAGAUAUAUAAUUGUGAGAUAGAACCAGGUGGGUGAGACAAGGCAUCUAUUCUCAAUCAAUGCUAUUAAUUUCAACAAAUAUGUAUUAAGCACCUAUUAUGCAUCAAGCAUUGUGC